AGCCUCUCGUUAAUUCCACUUCCCUGUGAGCAGAUCUCUCUCUCCGCUGAGAAUCAUGAGAAGAGCCACAACUCUCGCGUCCUCCAUCCUCUCCCGAACACUUGCAGCCACCCACGACGGCGGCGCUGCCACCGCUGCCGCCGCCAACUGCCGCCUGCUCCAGGCGGCACUCUAUUGUACAGGCGUUACAGGCAGUUCCUACAAACAUCAACAUUGGUUCUCUCGGCUUUGCAAUUCUUCCUCUGCGCGAGCUGCGUCUAUUGGGGUUGCUGGAGCUUUGGUUUCGGCGGCUGCUGCCACAUCCAUUUCUCAAGAAGCCUAUGCGAAGGAGCCGCCUCCGCCGGAACUUGUGCCUAAGGACGUUGUUCUUUACCAGUAUGAAGCUUGCCCUUUUUGCAAUAAAGUUAAAGCAUUUCUUGACUACUAUGAUAUACCAUACAAAGUUGUGGAAGUCAACCCAAUUAGCAAGAAAGAGAUCAAGUGGUCUGAUUAUAAGAAGGUGCCUAUACUGAUGGUGGAUGGUGAACAGCUUGUUGAUUCAUCAGUCAUCAUUGAUAAGUUGGGCAGCAAGGUAUCUAAGAAAAAGAUUGAUUUGGCCUCAAGUAAUGGUGGUGAAGAGGAAAAGUGGCGUCGGUGGGUGGAUAAUCACUUGGUACAUGUCCUAUCUCCAAACAUAUACCGCAAUACUUCUGAGGCUCUUGAAUCCUUUGACUAUAUCACAAGCAAUGGAAAUUUUAGCUUCACAGAAAAAAUUACAGUGAAGUAUGCUGGAGCUGCAGCAAUGUAUUUUGUGUCCAAGAAUUUGAAGAAGAAAUAUAACAUUACUGAUGAGCGUGCUGCCUUGUAUGAAGCUGCAGAGACAUGGGUGGAUGCUUUAAAUGGCCGAGAGUUUCUUGGAGGAUCAAAGCCGAAUUUGGCAGACCUUGCUGUUUUUGGAGUAUUAAGACCCAUCCGGUAUCUGAGGUCCGGUAGAGAUAUGGUGGAGCACACCCGAAUAGGAGAGUGGUAUACAAGGAUGGAGCAUGCUGUGGGGGAAUCUUCAAGGAUUACGGCUUAAACCAGAAUUCAUUGCUAUGCUUUCUGCUUCAUUUUGGUUUCCAUCUUCAAUCGCCUCAGUAAACAAUCGUACCAGCUGAGAACAUAAGACUUAACAAUUUUUUUACCAAACAAUUUUGUUAUUGUGUGAUUAUUAUACAAAACAGAAUCCCAAUACCCUAAUCAAUUAUCAAAAUUAUUAUUCUGAGAAUUUACAAAAAUAAAUAAAUAAAUUCUGGAUGUAACUGCAAUUUUCCUAAGCAUUUUGGUAUCAUGAGUUGAUUAGCUGUAUAGUCACUGAUGUUUUAAGUCACUGAAAAUGCUUUUCAAGUCACAUAUUUUGUAGAAAUGUAUGGCUGAUGAAACUCUUCUUCUCUGGAUGGAAAUUAUAUGAAUGAUAGAUUAUUGCUUGCAGAUUUGAAGAAAAGGCAACUUUGUUAAGGGGAUCGGGACUGUACUGGUUCUCUAAUCAUGGUAUCAAUUUAGUUUUGAUUCGGUC
RNAcentral lists this unclassified non-coding RNA (1534 nucleotides) under Hevea brasiliensis (rubber tree). Lineage: Eukaryota; Viridiplantae; Streptophyta; Magnoliopsida; Malpighiales; Euphorbiaceae. The record is from RNAcentral.